UACGGGGGGGGCAAGCGUUGUUCGGAAUUACUGGGCGUAAAGGGCUCGUAGGCGGCCAACUAAGUCAGACGUGAAAUCCCUCGGCUUAACCGGGGAACUGCGUCUGGGACUGAGUGGCUAGAGUUCGGGAGAGGAGAGUGGAAUUCCCAGUGUAGAGGUGAAAUUCGUAGAUAUUGGGAAGAACACCGGUGGCGAAGGCGGCUCUCUGGACCGAGACUGACGCUGAGGCGCGAAAGCGUGGGGAGCAAACAGG
This 253-nucleotide ribosomal RNA is filed under the name uncultured bacterium. Its description in RNAcentral is "partial 16S ribosomal RNA". It matches the Rfam family "Bacterial small subunit ribosomal RNA", at positions 524 to 776 of the family's 1533-position model. The record is from RNAcentral.